This 429-nucleotide ribosomal RNA is filed under the name Pseudomonadota bacterium. RNAcentral's name for it is "Proteobacteria bacterium partial 16S ribosomal RNA". It matches the Rfam family "Bacterial small subunit ribosomal RNA", at positions 355 to 776 of the family's 1533-position model. The record is from RNAcentral. Lineage: Bacteria; Pseudomonadati; Pseudomonadota.
UGGGGAAUAUUGGACAAUGGGCGAAAGCCUGAUCCAGCCAUGCCGCGUGUGUGAAGAAGGUCUUCGGAUUGUAAAGCACUUUAAGUUGGGAGGAAGGGCAGUAAGCGAAUACCUUGCUGUUUUGACGUUACCGACAGAAUAAGCACCGGCUAACUCUGUGCCAGCAGCCGCGGUAAUACAGAGGGUGCAAGCGUUAAUCGGAAUUACUGGGCGUAAAGCGUGCGUAGGCGGCUAAUUGAGUCGGAUGUGAAAUCCCCGAGCUUAACUUGGGAAUUGCAUUCGAUACUGGUUAGCUAGAGUGUGGGAGAGGAUGGUAGAAUUCCAGGUGUAGCGGUGAAAUGCGUAGAGAUCUGGAGGAAUACCGAUGGCGCAGGCAGCCAUCUAGCCUAACACUGACGCUGAGGUACGAAAGCAUGGGGAGCAAACAGG